This 493-nucleotide ribosomal RNA is filed under the name uncultured bacterium. Its description in RNAcentral is "partial 16S ribosomal RNA". It matches the Rfam family "Bacterial small subunit ribosomal RNA", at positions 30 to 507 of the family's 1533-position model. The record is from RNAcentral.
AUUGAACGCUGGCGGCAUGCUUUACACAUGCAAGUCGAACGGCAGCGCGGAGAAGCUUGCUUCUCUGUCGGCGAGUGGCGAACGGGUGAGUAUAGCAUCGGAACGUGCCAAGUAGUGGGGGAUAACCAAACGAAAGUUUGGCUAAUACCGCGUAAGCUCUAAGGAGGAAAGUAGGGGACCUAAAUAAGGCCUUACGCUAUUUGAUCGGCCGAUGUCGGAUUAGCUAGUUGGUGGGGUAAUGGCUCACCAAGGCAAUGAUCCGUAGCGGGUCUGAGAGGACGAUCCGCCACACUGGGACUGAGACACGGCCCAGACUCCUACGGGAGGCAGCAGUGGGGAAUUUUGGACCAUGGGGGAAACCCUGAUCCAGCCAUGCCGCGUGUAUGAAGAAGGCCUUAGGGUUGUAAAGUACUUUUGUUAGGGAAGAAAAGCUAGUUUUUAAUAAAAAUUAGUGAUGACGGUACCUAAAGAAUAAGCACCGGCUAACUACGUG